RNAcentral lists this ribosomal RNA (253 nucleotides) under uncultured bacterium. Its description in RNAcentral is "partial 16S ribosomal RNA". It matches the Rfam family "Bacterial small subunit ribosomal RNA", at positions 524 to 776 of the family's 1533-position model. The record is from RNAcentral.
UACGUAGGGCGCGAGCGUUGUCCGGAAUUACUGGGCGUAAAGAGCUCGUAGGUGGUUUGUCGCGUCGACUGUGAAAUCCCGAGGCUCAACUUCGGGCUUGCAGUCGAUACGGGCAGGCUAGAGUUCGGUAGGGGAGACUGGAAUUCCUGGUGUAGCGGUGAAAUGCGCAGAUAUCAGGAGGAACACCAGUGGCGAAAGCGGCUUCCUGGUCCGACACCGACGUUCAGGCACGAAAGCGUGGGGAGCAAACAGG